GUCUGGAUAGCUCAGUCAGUAGAGUUUGAGACUCUUAAUCACCUCAUUGUGGGUUCGAGCCCCAUGCUGGGCA
Non-coding RNA from Podarcis lilfordi (Lilford's wall lizard), 73 nucleotides. Lineage: Eukaryota; Metazoa; Chordata; Lepidosauria; Squamata; Lacertidae. The record is from the annotation of a GenBank genome assembly.